GAUGAACGCUGGCGGCGUGCUUAACACAUGCAAGUCGAACGAGAAGUGAAGACGGAAACCUUCGGGCGGAAGGCUUUAUUUCGAGUGGCGGACGGGUGAGUAACGCGUGGGUAACCUGCCUCAUACAGGGGGAUAACAGUUGGAAACGACUGUUAAUACCGCAUAAGACCACAGCACCGCAUGGUGCGGGGGUAAAAACUCCGGUGGUAUGAGAUGGACCCGCGUUCGAUUAGCCAGUUGGCGGGGUAACGGCCCACCAAAGCGACGAUCGAUAGCCGAUCUGAGAGGAUGACCGGCCACAUUGGGACUGAGACACGGCCCAAACUCCUACGGGAGGCAGCAGUGGGGAAUAUUGCACAAUGGGGGAAACCCUGAUGCAGCGACGCCGCGUGAGUGGAGAAGUAUUUCGGUAUGUAAAGCUCUAUCAGCAGGGAAGAAAAUGACGGCACCUGAGUAAGAAGCCCCGGCUAACUACGUG
Molecule: ribosomal RNA, 478 nt
Filed under: uncultured bacterium
Lineage: Bacteria
Description: partial 16S ribosomal RNA
Rfam family: Bacterial small subunit ribosomal RNA
Source: RNAcentral